This 424-nucleotide ribosomal RNA is filed under the name uncultured bacterium. RNAcentral describes it as "bacterial SSU rRNA". It matches the Rfam family "Bacterial small subunit ribosomal RNA", at positions 355 to 796 of the family's 1533-position model. The record is from RNAcentral.
UUAGGAAUUUUGGGCAAUGGGCGCAAGCCUGACCCAGCAACGCCGCGUGGGUGACGAAGGCCUUCGGGUUGUAAAGCCCUUUUUGAGGGGAAGAUAAUGACGGUACCCUCCGAAGAAGCACCGGCUAACUACGUGCCAGCAGCCGCGGUAAUACGUAGGGUGCGAGCGUUGCCCGGAUUUAUUGGGCGUAAAGGGCGCGCAGGCGGCCACGCACGUCCGUUGUGAAAUCGCUCGGCUCAACUGGGCGAGGUCAGCGGAUACGGCGUGGCUGGAGCAAGCUAGGGGGCAAUGGAAUUCCCGGUGUAGUGGUGGAAUGCGUAGAUAUCGGGAGGAACACCAGUGGCGAAGGCGGUUGCCUGGAGCUUUGCUGACGCUGAGGCGCGAAAGCGUGGGGAGCGAUCCGGAUUAGAUACCCGCGUAGUCC